This 1266-nucleotide unclassified non-coding RNA is filed under the name Hevea brasiliensis (rubber tree). The record is from RNAcentral. Lineage: Eukaryota; Viridiplantae; Streptophyta; Magnoliopsida; Malpighiales; Euphorbiaceae.
AUAUAUACAUAUAUAUAUAUAUAUUAGGGCGGGGGCCGGGGGGAGGCGGGUGUAUUUGGUUGAAAUUAUAGAAUUGAGGCUGAACUAUUAAGUUAUUUGGGUUGUGUUUAAUGAAUUGCUCUACAACGUUUUAAUUGGCUCCCAAAUUUUUAGAUCGUUUGUUAUAGUUGAGUCUUAACGGGUGCUGAUGCUGAAAAUACUAAACAAGUUGUCUCAUGUAUUCAGAAAUGGUGUGAUUUAUUCGGUGCUGAAAUGUGUAUUUAGCAAUACAAUGGCAAUCUCUGCCAGGAUGGAAAAACCCCUAUAAGAGUGUGUUUUGUAGAAUGCCCAGCUCAUUUGUUUUGGUUUUCCUUACCUAGAAUUCUGGUUCUUCUUCGCAUCCAGGGGACAUUGUCUGUUAAGAGUAUCUCCACCCAAUCUUUGUCACUGUUUGAGUUAUUGGAGCAAAUAGUCAUUAUCAACUUUUUCUCAGUUGGAAAAAUUUUCUUCUUAUCCUUAGCUCUGUGUACAAAUAUGUAUAAAGGUAUUUGCAUAAGCUAUCUUUAAAGAAAUGCAACAUAUUUGACACACAGAUGCUUGGACUUAAAUUUAGUUUGUUCUUCUAUUUUAUCCAAGUUUGGCAUUUUCAUCCUAAAAUUUUUUAUGUAGCAUUGUGAAAGAAAUAGGGAUCUUUUGUUUUCAAAUAGAAAAAAAUACAUAGAAAACAUAGCAGCUAUAGAUUGAAGUGUUGCUCGCUGUUGCAAUUUUUUCUAUUAGCAUUCUAGGCAAAAUUGGGAAUUUCUCAUGAUUUUCAGUUUUCACUACAGUACAAGCUGUUAAUUUUUUUUAUAUUCCAGUAGAUGCUACUCAUGAUCAAGGAUGACCUUUGUUUCUAUUACAAGCGUUGAUGUUGUGUACAGGUAUAGGCUUGUGUCAUGUUUGAUGAAAGUCAUUAUUCUGGUUGGACUUCAUGUGUUUUGCCGGGCACCAAGAGUGUUUUUUUUGUAAUUGGUUUAUGCUCUAGGUGAAUUAGAAAUUUAUAAAAAUGAGUGCUACAGCUGACUAUGUGAAAGAAGAAAAAAAAAAAAUUCCUUAUGUUAGUUAUUUCAUAAUCCAAGCGAAAUUUUUAUGGUGCCUGUUCUGGAUAGGAUCUGUCUGUCAUAAGCAUUACUUUGUGUUGAUCCUUAGCUUGAAGCGAAGGGAAUACGAAGAAUUCUUACAUUUCUUGUUUCCUUUUGCUGAAUUCAGAUUGAUUUCCUGCAGAUACGUAGAAGCUUUAAGGAUUCU